Molecule: long non-coding RNA, 1448 nt
Filed under: Capra hircus (goat)
Lineage: Eukaryota; Metazoa; Chordata; Mammalia; Artiodactyla; Bovidae
Description: lncRNA (ENSCHIG00000005803.1)
Source: RNAcentral
CGAGGUGCUGCCGCCGCUGCCCGACCUGCGCCUUCGCGCCACUUCGCGCCCUCGGGCGAGGCCGAGGGGGUGGGGACGACCCCCGCCGCGCCGCCGUGGCUUGCGCCCCCUCGCGAAGCCCCCUCCGCGGGGCGGACCGGCCGGCUGGCCGCACCCCCGGCCUGGGGCCUCCGGUCGUAGUAAAGCGGAGGCGGGUGGGGAGGCGGGAGCGAGAGCCCGCGGCGGGCGAGGCGAAGAUGGUGGCGGCUACUCCUCCUGUCAUACACGUGGACCUAACUGCACCAAAAGCUUUUCUAAGGAUAUUUGCUGAGAAGGAAGUUUUCCCCAGUGGGCAAACCUAUCUAAGCAGACCAAACCAGACUUGAGGGUUUUCCCUGUAUUUUGAAGAGCCCUACAGAAUGAUUCGUGAUAAAAAGCAACCUACAACUACCUGGAGGAAAAUUUGGUGUCACAUUAAAGUUUGCUGUGUAUUUAAUGAAGUACUGUUCUGAAUUGAUAACCUUGGGGUGGUUUGUCUAGCAUCAGAAUUAGGAGCCUCUGAGCUGAGCAGUAAAGGUAAGGAGGGCUCAGUGUACAAGGUCAGUUUUUGUUGUCCAACUGGAAGUCCUACCAUGCCUACUUGAAGACAGCACAUUCCUCUUUGCCUUGGAGGUUGUUGAGCUUUCAUUGUACUUAAAGACUAAAUACAGUUUUCUGUUUUGUUAAGGUAAAUUCAGGAUGUAAUAGUCUUAGAGUUUUAAAGGGUAACAAAGUUGGGCAUACCCUGUAAAUUUUAAGGCCAUAGGAAAAUUAGUGAAGGCUUAGUUUUCUAGUUUAGCGUAUAUAGCAUUCAGAGAUACUGAUGUAUUUGCAACUAAGUCGUGCUGUUGGAAUUGUUUUGGUGCUUUCAAUGUAAAUAAAUGUAUGCAUUUUAAAACUACUUGUUAAAUUUCCCAGAAUGAGAAUUUUGAAAUAAAAAUUUAAAGGUUAUGCUUGCUUGUAAUUUUUCUGGCGUUUUUUGUUACUAUAAAACAUCCAAACACCUUUCCUUAUUAAUUGAGGUAACUGGGGGAGAGGGAACAGGUGUACCUUAACUUUGGUAUCAGUGGCAUCUGUGUUUGUAUCCUGAUUUUACAGAUAAGGGAAUGUGAUGAGCAAAGUUUAUUUGCAAGGAUAUGAAGCUGGUAAAUAGGCUCUGAAUUUAAACCCAUGUUGAUAAACUAUGAAAAAGACAGUAAAGUUGCAAUUCCAGUCACAUGUGGUUUUGAAUACUUACUAAUAAAUAUGUAAUUGCCAGCGGAUUUCCUCCUUAACAAGGUUAAGUAACAUGGUAUGGAGGUAAAGAACAAAAACCCAAAGUUGGCAGCUUAAUGACAUCAAAUUACAUGGUCAGUGUAGUAUCCCCAUUCUUAAUAACUGAUUAACAUAUUUUAUGUUUGCUUGUAAGAAGUGUAUGUACUAUGAGGAUU